Molecule: long non-coding RNA, 506 nt
Organism: Nerophis ophidion (straightnose pipefish)
Lineage: Eukaryota; Metazoa; Chordata; Actinopteri; Syngnathiformes; Syngnathidae
Exons: 4
Source: RefSeq, a predicted model, not a curated record
GGCGUGGGUCACCACUUUGUCAACAAAUGCCUGAGCAAAUUGAUUAAGAACAACAUUUCUCAAGCAGCUACUGCAAGUAAUUGAUUGAAAACUUUUUCAGUCGAUUGCACAGUUGAGUUGCAUACAUAUUCCGUACAAUUGACCACUGAAUGCUAACACCCCAAUAAGUUGUACAACUUGUUUAAGUCGGGGUCCACCUUCAUCAAUUCAUGGAUUUCACCAUCUACGCUCCGUAAUAUCAACAAAAGGUUCAGAGAAUCUGGAGAAAUCACUGCAGCUGCUGGUCAGGAUUCAUGCCAGCUGCUUGAAGGCUUUUAGAAGAAGCAAAUCAUCCAUUGUACAGUACAGGGCUGCGAAUCUUUGGGCGCCACGCGAUUCCAUUCAGAGUCAUUUCUCGAUUCAAUGAAGUACAUUCCUCCACAAGAUGAAGUACAUUCCUCCACAAGAUGAAGUACAUUCCUGCACAAGAUGAAGUACAUUCCUCCACAAGAUGAAGUACAUUCCUG